RNAcentral lists this RNase P RNA (317 nucleotides) under Staphylococcus warneri. Its description in RNAcentral is "RNase P RNA component class B". It matches the Rfam family "Bacterial RNase P class B". Rfam says of the family: Ribonuclease P (RNase P) is a ubiquitous endoribonuclease, found in archaea, bacteria and eukarya as well as chloroplasts and mitochondria. Lineage: Bacteria; Bacillati; Bacillota; Bacilli; Caryophanales; Staphylococcaceae. The record is from RNAcentral.
UAUUUUGGGUAAUCGCUAUAGUGAUAUAGAGGAAAGUCCAUGCUCACACAGUCUGAGAUGGCUGUAGUGUUCGUGCUUGAUGAAACAAUAAAUCAAGGCAUUAAUUUGACGGCAAUGAAAGAAAUAUAAAAGGUGGAACGCGGUAAACCCCUCGAGUGAGCAAUCCAAAUUAGGUAGGAGCACUUGUUUAGCGGAAUUCAACGUAUAAACGAGACACAUGCAUAUAUUUGUUAUGUGUAGACAGAUGGUUACCACCAACGUACCAGUGUAACUAGUGCACGUGAUGAGUACAAUGGAACAGAACAUGGCUUACAGAA